CCUGGCUGGCUUAGCUAGAAGAGCAUGCGACUCUUGAUCUUGGGGCCCUUAGUUCCAGCUCUACACUGGAUG
This 72-nucleotide transfer RNA is filed under the name Canis lupus familiaris (dog). Its description in RNAcentral is "tRNA-Lys". Lineage: Eukaryota; Metazoa; Chordata; Mammalia; Carnivora; Canidae. The record is from RNAcentral.